RNAcentral lists this ribosomal RNA (254 nucleotides) under uncultured bacterium. RNAcentral's name for it is "partial 16S ribosomal RNA". It matches the Rfam family "Bacterial small subunit ribosomal RNA", at positions 524 to 776 of the family's 1533-position model. The record is from RNAcentral.
GACAGAGGGUGCAAACGUUGUUCGGAAUUACUGGGCGUAAAGCGCGCGCAGGCGGCCUUUUAAGUCUCGUGGUGAAAUGCCGGGGCUCAACCCCGUGCCCGCCGGAGAUACUGGGAGGCUGGAGACAUGUAGAGGCAAGCGGAAUUCCGGGUGUAGCGGUGGAAUGCGUAGAGAUCCGGAAGAACACCGGAGGCGAAGGCGGCUUGCUGGGCAUUGUCUGACGCUGAGGCGCGAAAGCGUGGGGAGCGAACAGG